GAUGAACGCUGGCGGCGUGCCUAAUACAUGCAAGUCGAGCGAACAGACGAGGAGCUUGCUCCUCUGACGUUAGCGGCGGACGGGUGAAUAACACGUGGAUAACCUACCUAUAAGACUGGGAUAACUUCGGGAAACCGGAGCUAAUACCGGAUAAUAUAUUGAACCGCAUGGUUCAAUAGUGAAAGACGGUUUUGCUGUCACUUAUAGAUGGAUCCGCGCCGCAUUAGCUAGUUGGUAAGGUAACGGCUUACCAAGGCAACGAUGCGUAGCCGACCUGAGAGGGUGAUCGGCCACACUGGAACUGAGACACGGUCCAGACUCCUACGGGAGGCAGCAGUAGGGAAUCUUCCGCAAUGGGCGAAAGCCUGACGGAGCAACGCCGCGUGAGUGAUGAAGGUCUUCGGAUCGUAAAACUCUGUUAUUAGGGAAGAACAUAUGUGUAAGUAACUGUGCACAUCUUGACGGUACCUAAUCAGAAAGCCACGGCUAACUACGUG
Molecule: ribosomal RNA, 497 nt
Filed under: uncultured bacterium
Lineage: Bacteria
Description: partial 16S ribosomal RNA
Rfam family: Bacterial small subunit ribosomal RNA
Source: RNAcentral